AUGGGAUUCUAUAGUCUACAUGAAUCCCUUCAUCAUGAGGUCACCAAACUUCUCUCCAGAUUCUUCUGGGGUGGAGAGAAUAAUAAACAGAAGUACCACAUGGUGAAGUGGUCCGACAUUUCCAAGCCUAAGGACCAAGGCGGCCUCGGGGUCAUUUCAUCCAAACGGAUGAAUAUUUCCCUCCUCUCCAAAUGGCUUUGGCGCAUUCAGACCAAUGAGGGUGGACUGUGGCUGGAGAUUAUCCACGCGAAGUACCUUCGAGGGCAACCGCUGGCCUUUGCCUCCAGAUCUGCAGGGUCCCAAUUCUGGCAAUCGGUGAUCCGACUGAUGCCGGUCUUGCGUAUUGGGACCUCCAUUAAAGUGGGCUCCGGGCCCGGUACCCUAUUCUGGCUUGAUAGAUGGGCCGAGACCCGACCUUUUGCGGAGCGGUUCUACGCGUUAUUCUCGAUUUGUGCCCGCUCACAGCUUUCAGUGGCCGUGGCUUUGGCUGACAUGGGCGCUAUCGCCUUCCGCCGUACCUUCAGGGCGGUGGCGCACGCGCAAUGGGAGGAAUUACUCGAGUGUGUUGCCCUCCACUCCCCCUCCCUUGAGCCCGAUACGCUGUCUUGGCAUCUCGAACCAAGCAGCCGAUUCUCUACUAGGUCCCUAUAA
RNAcentral lists this ribosomal RNA (651 nucleotides) under Triticum aestivum (bread wheat). Its description in RNAcentral is "partial small subunit ribosomal RNA". The record is from RNAcentral. Lineage: Eukaryota; Viridiplantae; Streptophyta; Magnoliopsida; Poales; Poaceae.